AAUGAACGUUGGCGGUGCGCCUUAUGCAUGCAAGUCAAACGGGGUUAUGAUCUUCGGAUUGUAACCCAGUGGCGAACGGCUGAGUAACACGUAAGUAACCUGCCUGGGAGUGGGAAAUAACCUGCCGAAAGGCAAGCUAAUGUCCCAUGUGGUAACGAAGCACACGCUUGGUUACUAAAGCCUUCGGGCGCUCCGAGAGGGGCUUGCGUCCGAUUAGCUAGUUGGUAGGGUAACGGCCUACCAAGGCAAUGAUCGGUAGCUGGUCUGAGAGGACGGCCAGCCAGAUGGGGACUGAGACACGGCCCCAACUCCUACGGGAGGCAGCAGCAAGGAAUUUUGGGCAAUGAGCGAAAGCUUGACCCAGCGACACCGCGUGAGGGACGAAGGCCUUCGGGUUGUAAACCUCUUUUCUUGGGGAAGAAUUUGACGGUACCCA
Molecule: ribosomal RNA, 436 nt
Filed under: uncultured Dehalogenimonas sp.
Lineage: Bacteria; Bacillati; Chloroflexota; Dehalococcoidia; Dehalococcoidales; Dehalococcoidaceae
Description: bacterial SSU rRNA
Rfam family: Bacterial small subunit ribosomal RNA
Source: RNAcentral